RNAcentral lists this transfer RNA (54 nucleotides) under Trouessartia rubecula. RNAcentral's name for it is "tRNA-Ser". The record is from RNAcentral. Lineage: Eukaryota; Metazoa; Arthropoda; Arachnida; Sarcoptiformes; Trouessartiidae.
AAAAGUAUAAAAAUAGGAUUUCUAAUCCUUUAGUUCUUUAGAAGAGUACUUUUU